UACGUAGGCAGCGAGCGUUGUUCGGAGUUACUGGGCGUAAAGCGCGCGCAGGCGGUCCUUUAAGUCUGAUGUGAAAGCCCACGGCUCAACCGCAGACGGUCGUGGGAAACUGGAGGGCUAGAGUGCGGGAGAGGAGAGUGGAAUUCCCGGUGUAGCGGUGAAAUGCGCAGAUAUCGGGAAGAACACCCGUGGCGAAGGCGGCUCUCUGGAACGCAACUGACGCUGAGACGCGAAAGCGUGGGGAGCAAACAGG
This 253-nucleotide ribosomal RNA is filed under the name uncultured bacterium. RNAcentral describes it as "partial 16S ribosomal RNA". It matches the Rfam family "Bacterial small subunit ribosomal RNA", at positions 524 to 776 of the family's 1533-position model. The record is from RNAcentral.